UGCCGAUGACACAACCCAGAGGCUCUAGC
This 29-nucleotide non-coding RNA is filed under the name Rattus norvegicus (Norway rat). The record is from RNAcentral. Lineage: Eukaryota; Metazoa; Chordata; Mammalia; Rodentia; Muridae.